This 409-nucleotide ribosomal RNA is filed under the name uncultured bacterium. RNAcentral describes it as "bacterial SSU rRNA". It matches the Rfam family "Bacterial small subunit ribosomal RNA", at positions 355 to 776 of the family's 1533-position model. The record is from RNAcentral.
UGGGGAAUAUUGGGCAAUGGACGCAAGUCUGACCCAGCGACGCCGCGUGCGGGAUGAAGGCCUUCGGGUUGUAAACUGCUUUCAGCAGGGAAGAAGCGAAAGUGACGGUACCUGCAAAAGAAGCACCGGCUAACUAUGUGCCAGCAGCCGCGGUAAUACAUAGGGUGCAAGCGUUGUCCGGAAUUAUUGGGCGUAAAGAGCUCGUAGGUGGUUUGCCACGUCGGAUGUGAAAACCUGAGGCUUAACCUCAGGCCUGCAUUCGAUACGGGCAGACUAGAGUGUGGUAGGGGAGACUGGAAUUCCUGGUGUAGCGGUGAAAUGCGCAGAUAUCAGGAGGAACACCGAUGGCGAAGGCACCACUCUGGGCCGAAACUGACGCUGAGGAGCGAAAGCGUGGGUAGCAAACAGG